This 231-nucleotide ribosomal RNA is filed under the name uncultured bacterium. Its description in RNAcentral is "partial 16S ribosomal RNA". It matches the Rfam family "Bacterial small subunit ribosomal RNA", at positions 103 to 334 of the family's 1533-position model. The record is from RNAcentral.
CGGGUGAGUAAUACAUCGGAACGUGCCCGACUCGUGGGGGAGUAACGAGGCGAAAGCUUUGCUAAUACCGCAUACGAUCUACGGAUGAAAGCGGGGGAGUCUUCGGACCUCGCGCGGACGGAGCGGCCGAUGGCAGAUUAGGUAGUUGGUGGGAUAAAAGCUUACCAAGCCGACGAUCUGUAGCUGGUCUGAGAGGAUGAUCAGCCACACUGGGACUGAGACACGGCCCAG